UUCAUCCCCAACGAUCCUAAACACUACUUACGCGGCCCUAUAAUCAGUUUAGAUGUGAGGUUAAUUUUAUAAAAGACUAAACAGCGGCCUGAGCAAUUCUAUAGUGCUGAAUACGUAGUUGCCUCUUCUCAUCCUAUGACUGCUUUACUUUUGCUUUAAGAUGCUGCACUGCUUGGUAUGCCAUAUGUGGUUUAUUACUAACUCCUGUGAUUGUUUUCUUCUUAUGACAGUGUAGGCAUUAUUGGAAUUCAUUACCAACUGCAAUACUGGACUACUGAUUGCUUCAGAUCAAAACAAUGAAUUCAUCAAAGAUUGCAAGUACCAAGACCAUGCAAUACUUCCAUCCAUCAGGAAAGGUUCUGACAAGGUAGCCUCACCGAGGAUUUGAGCUUGUUGUAUGACCACAUUAAACACUGAACACUUCAAUGACAUCAUCUGCUCUACUCCCCGAGGUCAUACACCCAGAGACUGCUGAUACUUUCAGAGAUGCAGACUGAGUCUUUAGAUAUUCAUACCUUCACUUAUCAAGCAGUCUGGAACAUGCUACCUAAAUGGUUGAGAAUGUCCCCUAUGACUUCAGACAUCUGGUUUUGAAUUUAAUUGACACACAGCAUGUCUUCCUCUAUUGAUUGUAUGGAUGACCUGAAUCUUUCAUUUUCCAGGUCAAUCUGCAUUUCUCAUUUCUCUGACCAAGACUCAGCUCAACAUUACCACUGCAUGAGCUUCCCAGAUGUUGUUUCAAUCAAUCACAUGAUUUAAUGAGGUGCAGAGAGCUCAUGAGUGCAGGCCUAGUCCCAGGAAUCUAUACCACCUGUACGUUUUAAGGUAAACUCUGAGUGAACUGGAAAUUGUCCAAAUAAACAUUUUUAUACAGGUGACUCCUCAGAGGUA
Molecule: long non-coding RNA, 891 nt
Organism: Protopterus annectens (West African lungfish)
Lineage: Eukaryota; Metazoa; Chordata; Ceratodontiformes; Protopteridae
Exons: 5
Source: RefSeq, a predicted model, not a curated record